GUCGAACGCUGGCGGCGUGCCUAAUACAUGCAAGUCGAACGCAGUGGGGACGGGUGAGUAACACGUGGGUAACCUCCCAUCAGAGGAGAUAACACUUGGAAACAGGUGCUAACCCGCUACUUAUAUAUGGAUCCGCGCUGCAUUAGCUAGUUGGUAAGGUAACGGCUUACCAAGGCAACGAUGCAUAGCCGGUCUGAGAGGGUGACCGGCCACACUGGAACUGAGACACGGCCCAGACUCCUACGGGAGGCAGCAGUGGGGAAUAUUGGGCAAUGGACGAAAGUCUGACCGAGCAACGCCGCGUGUGUGAAGAAGGUUUUCGGAUCGUAAAGCUCUUUUGUCAGAGAAGCGGUAUCUACCCAGAAAGCCACGGCUAACUACGUGCCAGCAGCCGCGGUAAUUC
Molecule: ribosomal RNA, 403 nt
Filed under: uncultured bacterium
Lineage: Bacteria
Description: partial 16S ribosomal RNA
Rfam family: Bacterial small subunit ribosomal RNA
Source: RNAcentral